This 548-nucleotide long non-coding RNA is filed under the name Homo sapiens (human). RNAcentral's name for it is "cancer/testis associated transcript 75". Lineage: Eukaryota; Metazoa; Chordata; Mammalia; Primates; Hominidae. The record is from RNAcentral.
CGCACAUUCUGACGAGGACGAGGGUGGUGCAUAACGCGGAGGUCAAUUUUGCACAGUCCAGGCAAAAGAGACCCCCCCCCCCCACCAACAUCCCUUCCUGUUCAGUUUCCCUCUCUGGCCCAGCGCGAAGGGCGAGGGGCGACAGAAGCCCGAGGGACAGAAAACCGAGGCUCCUCAGUGGCCGAGUUGGGAGAGAGUUGCAAUACAGUUGACCCUUGGACAACAUGGAUUGGAACCGUGCAGGUCUACUAACUAAUACACAGAUUCUCUUCCACCUAUGCCACCCUUGAGACAGCAAGACCAACCCCUCCUCUUCCUCCUCCUUUUCAGUCCACUCAAUGUGAAGACAAGGAAAAUGAAGAACUUUAUGAUGAUCCAUGCUAUUAGUCUGUUCUCACACCGCUAAUAAAGACAUACCCGAGACUGGGUAAUUUAUAAAAGAAAGAGGUUUAAUGGACUCACAGUUCUACAUGGCUGCGGAAGCCCCACAAUCAUGAUGGAAAGCAAAGGAGGAGCAAAGUCACGUCUCACAUGGUAGCAGGCAAGAG